RNAcentral lists this ribosomal RNA (742 nucleotides) under uncultured organism. RNAcentral describes it as "bacterial SSU rRNA". It matches the Rfam family "Bacterial small subunit ribosomal RNA", at positions 686 to 1430 of the family's 1533-position model. The record is from RNAcentral.
AUGCAUAGAUAUGAUACAGAACACCGAUAGCGAAGGCAGCUUACCAAACUGUAACUGACGCUCAUGCACGAAAGCGUGGGGAGCAAACAGGAUUAGAUACCCUGGUAGUCCACGCUGUAAACUAUGAUCACUCGCUGUUGGCGAUACACUGUCAGCGGCUUAGCGAAAGUGUUAAGUGAUCCACCUGGGGAGUACGAUCGCAAGGUUUGAAACUCAAAGGAAUUGACGGGGGCCCGCACAAGCGGAGGAGCAUGUGGUUUAAUUCGAUGAUACGCGAGGAACCUUACCUGGGCUUAAAUGCAGAACGACCUCCCGAGAAAUCGGGACUUCCUUCGGGACGGACUGCAAGGUGCUGCAUGGUUGUCGUCAGCUCGUGCCGUGAGGUGUCGGGUUAAGUCCCAUAACGAGCGCAACCCUUAUCCUUAGUUGCCAACAGGUAAUGCUGGGAACUCUAAGGAAACUGCCUACGCAAGUAGUGAGGAAGGUGGGGAUGACGUCAAAUCAGCACGGCCCUUAUGUCCAGGGCUACACACGUGCUACAAUGGUCGGUACAGAGGGCAGCUACCUGGCAACAGGAUGCUAAUCUCGAAAGCCGAUCUCAGUUCGGAUUGGAGUCUGCAACUCGACUCCAUGAAGUUGGAUUCGCUAGUAAUCGCGCAUCAGCCAUGGCGCGGUGAAUACGUUCCCGGGCCUUGUACACACCGCCCGUCAAGCCAUGGAAGCUGGGAGUACCUGAAGUCUG